RNAcentral lists this ribosomal RNA (216 nucleotides) under Glomeromycotina sp. RNAcentral's name for it is "partial small subunit ribosomal RNA". The stretch from base 40 to 216 matches the Rfam family "Eukaryotic small subunit ribosomal RNA", at positions 686 to 864 of the family's 1831-position model. Lineage: Eukaryota; Fungi; Glomeromycota. The record is from RNAcentral.
GGGUCAGUAGGUUGGUCGUGCCACCGGUACGUACUGGUCUCACUGAUUCCUUCUUCCUGAAGAACCGUAAUGCCAUUAAUUUGGUGUUGCGGGGAAACAGGACUGUUACUUUGAAAAAAUUAGAGUGUUUAAAGCAAGCUAACGCUUGAAUACAUUAGCAUGGGAUAAUGAAAUAGGACGAUCGAUCCUAUUUUGUUGGUUUCUAGGAUUGACGUA